RNAcentral lists this ribosomal RNA (2625 nucleotides) under Escherichia coli. Its description in RNAcentral is "bacterial LSU rRNA". It matches the Rfam family "Bacterial large subunit ribosomal RNA". Lineage: Bacteria; Pseudomonadati; Pseudomonadota; Gammaproteobacteria; Enterobacterales; Enterobacteriaceae. The record is from RNAcentral.
AGCGUACACGGUGGAUGCCCUGGCAGUCAGAGGCGAUGAAGGACGUGCUAAUCUGCGAUAAGCGUCGGUGAGGUGAUAUGAACCGUUAUAACCGGCGAUUUCCGAAUGGGGAAACCCAGUGUGUUUCGACACACUAUCAUUAACUGAAUCCAUAGGUUAAUGAGGCGAACCGGGGGAACUGAAACAUCUAAGUACCCCGAGGAAAAGAAAUCAACCGAGAUUCCCCCAGUAGCGGCGAGCGAACGGGGAGGAGCCCAGAGCCUGAAUCAGUGUGUGUGUUAGUGGAAGCGUCUGGAAAGGCGCGCGAUACAGGGUGACAGCCCCGUACACAAAAAUGCACAUAUUGUGAGCUCGAUGAGUAGGGCGGGACACGUGGUAUCCUGUCUGAAUAUGGGGGGACCAUCCUCCAAGGCUAAAUACUCCUGACUGACCGAUAGUGAACCAGUACCGUGAGGGAAAGGCGAAAAGAACCCCGGCGAGGGGAGUGAAAAAGAACCUGAAACCGUGUACGUACAAGCAGUGGGAGCCUCUUUAUGGGGUGACUGCGUACCUUUUGUAUAAUGGGUCAGCGACUUAUAUUCUGUAGCAAGGUUAACCGAAUAGGGGAGCCGAAGGGAAACCGAGUCUUAACUGGGCGUUAAGUUGCAGGGUAUAGACCCGAAACCCGGUGAUCUAGCCAUGGGCAGGUUGAAGGUUGGGUAACACUAACUGGAGGACCGAACCGACUAAUGUUGAAAAAUUAGCGGAUGACUUGUGGCUGGGGGUGAAAGGCCAAUCAAACCGGGAGAUAGCUGGUUCUCCCCGAAAGCUAUUUAGGUAGCGCCUCGUGAAUUCAUCUCCGGGGGUAGAGCACUGUUUCGGCAAGGGGGUCAUCCCGACUUACCAACCCGAUGCAAACUGCGAAUACCGGAGAAUGUUAUCACGGGAGACACACGGCGGGUGCUAACGUCCGUCGUGAAGAGGGAAACAACCCAGACCGCCAGCUAAGGUCCCAAAGUCAUGGUUAAGUGGGAAACGAUGUGGGAAGGCCCAGACAGCCAGGAUGUUGGCUUAGAAGCAGCCAUCAUUUAAAGAAAGCGUAAUAGCUCACUGGUCGAGUCGGCCUGCGCGGAAGAUGUAACGGGGCUAAACCAUGCACCGAAGCUGCGGCAGCGACACUAUGUGUUGUUGGGUAGGGGAGCGUUCUGUAAGCCUGUGAAGGUGGCCUGUGAGGGUUGCUGGAGGUAUCAGAAGUGCGAAUGCUGACAUAAGUAACGAUAAAGCGGGUGAAAAGCCCGCUCGCCGGAAGACCAAGGGUUCCUGUCCAACGUUAAUCGGGGCAGGGUGAGUCGACCCCUAAGGCGAGGCCGAAAGGCGUAGUCGAUGGGAAACAGGUUAAUAUUCCUGUACUUGGUGUUACUGCGAAGGGGGGACGGAGAAGGCUAUGUUGGCCGGGCGACGGUUGUCCCGGUUUAAGCGUGUAGGCUGGUUUUCCAGGCAAAUCCGGAAAACCAAGGCUGAGGCGUGAUGACGAGGCACUACGGUGCUGAAGCGACAAAUGCCCUGCUUCCAGGAAAAGCCUCUAAGCAUCAGGUAACAUCAAAUCGUACCCCAAACCGACACAGGUGGUCAGGUAGAGAAUACCAAGGCGCUUGAGAGAACUCGGGUGAAGGAACUAGGCAAAAUGGUGCCGUAACUUCGGGAGAAGGCACGCUGAUAUGUAGGUGAAGCGACUUGCUCGUGGAGCUGAAAUCAGUCGAAGAUACCAGCUGGCUGCAACUGUUUAUUAAAAACACAGCACUGUGCAAACACGAAAGUGGACGUAUACGGUGUGACGCCUGCCCGGUGCCGGAAGGUUAAUUGAUGGGGUUAGCGGUAACGCGAAGCUCUUGAUCGAAGCCCCGGUAAACGGCGGCCGUAACUAUAACGGUCCUAAGGUAGCGAAAUUCCUUGUCGGGUAAGUUCCGACCUGCACGAAUGGCGUAAUGAUGGCCAGGCUGUCUCCACCCGAGACUCAGUGAAAUUGAACUCGCUGUGAAGAUGCAGUGUACCCGCGGCAAGACGGAAAGACCCCGUGAACCUUUACUAUAGCUUGACACUGAACAUUGAGCCUUGAUGUGUAGGAUAGGUGGGAGGCUUUGAAGUGUGGACGCCAGUCUGCAUGGAGCCGACCUUGAAAUACCACCCUUUAAUGUUUGAUGUUCUAACGUUGGCCCGUAAUCCGGGUUGCGGACAGUGUCUGGUGGGUAGUUUGACUGGGGCGGUCUCCUCCUAAAGAGUAACGGAGGAGCACGAAGGUUGGCUAAUCCUGGUCGGACAUCAGGAGGUUAGUGCAAUGGCAUAAGCCAGCUUGACUGCGAGCGUGACGGCGCGAGCAGGUGCGAAAGCAGGUCAUAGUGAUCCGGUGGUUCUGAAUGGAAGGGCCAUCGCUCAACGGAUAAAAGGUACUCCGGGGAUAACAGGCUGAUACCGCCCAAGAGUUCAUAUCGACGGCGGUGUUUGGCACCUCGAUGUCGGCUCAUCACAUCCUGGGGCUGAAGUAGGUCCCAAGGGUAUGGCUGUUCGCCAUUUAAAGUGGUACGCGAGCUGGGUUUAGAACGUCGUGAGACAGUUCGGUCCCUAUCUGCCGUGGGCGCUGGAGAACUG